UUAAGUGAAUAAGGCUUUCCGUUGACAGCAGGUGUGGCGGUGGCCACUUAAUAUCCUGCCGAGGGAAGCGCGAAACGCAAGCGGAGCGAUGAUGGAGCUGGCCAAGCUUCAUGCCGUCAUUGUUCCGGUGUUUUUCCGCGCUCUCGGCAGGUCGAGGGCGCUUUUUUAUUGAGGGU
Bacillus thermozeamaize is the source of this 176-nucleotide non-coding RNA. The record is from Rfam. NCBI's taxonomy places the organism in Bacteria, Bacillati, Bacillota, Bacilli, Caryophanales, Bacillaceae.